This 228-nucleotide non-coding RNA is filed under the name Atopostipes suicloacalis. Its description in RNAcentral is "T-box sequence". It matches the Rfam family "T-box leader". From Rfam's summary of the family: Uncharged tRNA acts as the effector for transcription antitermination of genes in the T-box leader family. T-boxes are found upstream of many aminoacyl-tRNA synthetase genes and some amino acid biosynthetic genes usually in Gram-positive bacteria. The record is from RNAcentral. Lineage: Bacteria; Bacillati; Bacillota; Bacilli; Lactobacillales; Carnobacteriaceae.
AUGAACUUAAUGACAAGAAGACAGCAUUUGAUUUAACUUUCAGAGACAUCACGGGUGGUGCGAGUGAUGAUUUAACAAAUGCUCCACAUCUUGGAAUGAAACAUUGAACUUCUCAGUAGAUGUUUCCGUUAGCGAGCGUUAAUCGCUUGGCGUCUUUGACGCUCUGAGGCAAUUUGCGUGAGUAAAUUGUAAAAAAAGGUGGAACCACGUUUAGUUAUCGUCCUUUCA